Molecule: ribosomal RNA, 253 nt
Filed under: uncultured bacterium
Lineage: Bacteria
Description: partial 16S ribosomal RNA
Rfam family: Bacterial small subunit ribosomal RNA
Source: RNAcentral
UACGAGAGGCCCAAACGUUAUUCGGAUUUACUGGGCUUAAAGAGUUCGUAGGCGGCGCGGAAAGUAGGGUGUGAAAGCCCUCGGCUUAACCGAGGAAUUGCGCUCUAAACUACCGUGCUUGAGGAACCUAGAGGUGAGCAGAACUGAUGGUGGAGCGGUGAAAUGCGUUGAUAUCGAGAAGAACACCGGUGGCGAAGGCGGCCAUCUGGACAGAUACUGACGCUGAGACGCGAAAGCGUGGGGAGCAAACAGG